This 158-nucleotide ribosomal RNA is filed under the name uncultured bacterium. RNAcentral describes it as "partial 16S ribosomal RNA". It matches the Rfam family "Bacterial small subunit ribosomal RNA", at positions 355 to 509 of the family's 1533-position model. The record is from RNAcentral.
UGAGGAAUAUUGGUCAAUGGGCGGGGAGCCUGAACCAGCCAAGCCGCGUGAAGGAAGAAGGCGCCAGGCGUCGUAAACUUCUUUUGUCGGGGAACAAAGGGCGCCACGCGUGGCGUUGUGAGUGUACCCGAAGAAAAAGCAUCGGCUAACUCCGUGCC